RNAcentral lists this ribosomal RNA (462 nucleotides) under uncultured bacterium. Its description in RNAcentral is "partial 16S ribosomal RNA". It matches the Rfam family "Bacterial small subunit ribosomal RNA", at positions 28 to 507 of the family's 1533-position model. The record is from RNAcentral.
GACGAACGCUGGCGGCGUGCUUAACACAUGCAAGUCGAACGGAAAGGCCCUUCGGGGUACUCGAGUGGCGAACGGGUGAGUAACACGUGGGUGAUCUGCCCUGCACUUUGUGAUAAGCCUGGGAAACUGGGUCUAAUACCGAAUAGGACCACGCGCUUCAUGGUGUGUGGUGGAAAGCUUUUGCGGUGUGGGAUGGGCCCGCGGCCUAUCAGCUUGUUGGUGGGGUAAUGGCCUACCAAGGCGACGACGGGUAGCCGGCCUGAGAGGGUGACCGGCCACACUGGGACUGAGAUACGGCCCAGACUCCUACGGGAGGCAGCAGUGGGGAAUAUUGCACAAUGGGCGCAAGCCUGAUGCAGCGACGCCGCGUGAGGGAUGACGGCCUUCGGGUUGUAAACCUCUUUCAAUAGGGACGAAGCGCAAGUGACGGUACCUAUAGAAGAAGCACCGGCCAACUACGUG